AGCGCGAGCUGCCGGCGGGCAGGAGCGGCCGCGCGGAGGAUAGACGCCGCUCGCCGGGGGAGCGGGCACCGGCCGCCGCCGCUACGCGCCUCCGGGGCGGCCUGGCCAGCGAACAGGCAGCGGAACAGCUCGAAAGACUGAUCUGGACCUACCUUUAAACAGAUAAACCUACACUGAGGAAAAUCCUGCAUACUUAUACCAAGUUUGCAUCAACUUCUAGGGAGCUUGUUUGAAAAGCCUCUCAGAAGGUACAUAUGGCAGAGAACAUGAGGUCUAUAUUCUGGUUGACUGGAAAACCCUACACAUCAAAAGCUGUCCAGAGAAGAAAGAUAAAUAAAAUAUAAAUAGACAUUUUACCUGAAGGUAACAGAAGGAAAAAAAAA
Molecule: long non-coding RNA, 383 nt
Organism: Columba livia (rock pigeon)
Lineage: Eukaryota; Metazoa; Chordata; Aves; Columbiformes; Columbidae
Exons: 3
Source: RefSeq, a predicted model, not a curated record